Molecule: long non-coding RNA, 1018 nt
Organism: Cryptotermes secundus
Lineage: Eukaryota; Metazoa; Arthropoda; Insecta; Blattodea; Kalotermitidae
Exons: 3
Source: RefSeq, a predicted model, not a curated record
CCGCAGUACAAGGGACUUAGUCCCACCCCACCAAAAAAAAAAGAAAAAAAUAAAGCAAGAAAGGUUUUUGUGCAGUAAAUUGGGCAAGCUCUUGGUAUAUAUGACAAAUGCCACUCAGGACAAAAUAGAUUUAGCUUGGGGAAGAAUUUAUCAUGAGACGAAGGAGUCUGGAUCCAGGUUAAGUUCUUUCGAAAGCAUAUAAGUGCCUCAGUUUAAAUUGUCCUGUUGCAUUAAUAUAUAAUUCAUUUUAUAUAUAUUUCUGUCUUAAAUGCAUAUUAUUAUGUAACCCUUCUUCCACAUUACAUGGUUCAACUGUAUACGACCAUCAUCAUAUGUCUUCUAUCUUGCUAAAAUUCUUGCAUUGUAUUUCAAAAUUUCGUAUCGCACGUGAACACAAUAUUUCCUGAUUAAAAUACAUUGACCUUAAUUAAAACAAAUUAAAUAAAAUCCCAAUAUUUUCCUUAUUGUCGUCAUCCUAUCUUUUCACGCCGUCCCAACCGGUCUCAACUACAACUGUAUUAUCACAACAUCAGCAUUAUUAUCUUCUAUUGCAGAAGAUAACAAUACACUGAUAUAGGCCAUGUCCAUCUAUAAUAUUAUCAAGACACAUUAAAGAAGGUAUGUCCAGUGUGGACCUUGCUCAAAGCAGCAGAAAUAACUGAAAUGUUCGCUACUUGAGAAACUGGAAACUGCACUUGCUGCAUAGUUCAAGCAAGCACGAGAGAGUAAUACUUCCACAGAUGGCACCCACCUCUAGGAAAAAGCCUUGCAAAUUGCCGCUCAUCUGGGAAUAGCCAACUUCAUGGUCUUCACUGGAUGGAUCAACAAAUUUAAGAGGAGACGCAUUGUUUACAGAACUCUAUCAGAGGACUUCUGUACAGGAGUCUGUGAAGAAAAGAGACAGUUGGAAGGAAGCCACCAUUCAGAGAAGGCUUGAGUGCAGAAGCUGAAAAAUCUCCACCAUUAGAAGCUGUUAUGAGGGAAUGGCUGGUGAAGACACUAGCACAUGCUGUGGUGA